GAACGAGAAAGUCCCCGCAAGGGGAUGAGUAAAGUGGCGUACGGGUGAGUAACACGUAGCUAACCUACCCUCGAGUGGGGGAUAACCUGGGGAAACCCGGGCUAAUACCGCAUACGAUCCUGAUUGCACAUGCAAUUGGGAGGAGAGGCCCGCAAGGGCCGCUUGAGGAGGGGGCUGCGGCCGAUUAGCUAGUUGGUGAGGUAAUGGCUCACCAAGGCGAUGAUCUGUAUCCGGCCUGAGAGGGCGCACGGACACACUGGAACUGAAACACGGUCCAGACUCCUACGGGAGGCAGCAGUGGGGAAUUUUGCGCAAUGGGGGAAACCCUGACGCAGCAACGCCGCGUGGAGGAUGAAGUCCUUCGGGACGUAAACUCCUUUCGAUCGGGACGAUAAUGAUGGUACCGGAAGAAGAAGCCCCGGCUAACUUCGUGCCAGCAGCCGCGGUAAUACGAGGGGGGCGAGCGUUGUUCGGAAUUAUUGGGCGUAAAGGGUGCGUAGGCGGUUUGGUAAGUCUUCUGUGAAAUCUAUGGGCUCAACUCAUAGACUGCAUGAGAAACUGCCGGGCUGGAGUGUGGGAGAGGUGAGUGGAAUUUCCGGUGUAGCGGUGAAAUGCGUAGAUAUCGGAAGGAACACCUGUGGCGAAAGCGGCUCACUGGACCACAACUGACGCUGAAGCACGAAAGCUAGGGGA
This 693-nucleotide ribosomal RNA is filed under the name uncultured forest soil bacterium. RNAcentral describes it as "bacterial SSU rRNA". It matches the Rfam family "Bacterial small subunit ribosomal RNA", at positions 64 to 767 of the family's 1533-position model. The record is from RNAcentral.